Otolemur garnettii (small-eared galago) is the source of this 300-nucleotide non-coding RNA. Lineage: Eukaryota; Metazoa; Chordata; Mammalia; Primates; Galagidae. The record is from Rfam.
GCCAGGCGUAGUGGUGCAUACCUGUAGUUCCAGCUAUUUGGGAGGCUGAGACAGGAGGAUUGCUUGAGUCCAGGAGUUCUGGGCUGUAGUGAGCUAUGCCAAUCAGGUGUCUGCACUAAGUUCAGAAUCAAUAUGGUGACCUCCUGGGAGCAGGGGACCACCAGGUUGCCUAUGGAGGGGUGAUUCGGCCCAAGUUGGAAAUGGAGCAGGUCAAAACUCCCAUGCUGAUCAGUAGUGGGAUCAUGCCUGUGAAUAGGCACGGCACUCCAGCCUGGGCAACAUAGUGAGACCCUGUCUCUU